Molecule: ribosomal RNA, 389 nt
Filed under: Ehrlichia canis
Lineage: Bacteria; Pseudomonadati; Pseudomonadota; Alphaproteobacteria; Rickettsiales; Anaplasmataceae
Description: bacterial SSU rRNA
Rfam family: Bacterial small subunit ribosomal RNA
Source: RNAcentral
CAAUUAUUUAUAGCCUCUGGCUAUAGGAAAUUGUUAGUGGCAGACGGGUGAGUAAUGCGUAGGAAUCUACCUAGUAGUACGGAAUAGCCAUUAGAAAUGGUGGGUAAUACUGUAUAAUCCCCGAGGGGGAAAGAUUUAUCGCUAUUAGAUGAGCCUACGUUAGAUUAGCUAGUUGGUGAGGUAAUGGCUUACCAAGGCUAUGAUCUAUAGCUGGUCUGAGAGGACGAUCAGCCACACUGGAACUGAGAUACGGUCCAGACUCCUACGGGGGGCAGCAGUGGGGAAUAUUGGACAAUGGGCGAAAGCCUGAUCCAGCUAUGCCGCGUGAGUGAAGAAGGCCUUCGGGUUGUAAAACUCUUUCAAUAGGGAAGAUAAUGACGGUACCUAUA